Molecule: transfer RNA, 78 nt
Filed under: Frankia sp. Hr75.2
Lineage: Bacteria; Bacillati; Actinomycetota; Actinomycetes; Frankiales; Frankiaceae
Description: Pseudo tRNA
Source: RNAcentral
AUGCAGGUCAGCACAGCGUUUAGGCGUUUUGACCUGAAAAGCGGAAGGUCGGCGGUUCGACCCCGCCCCUGCCCACCA